RNAcentral lists this ribosomal RNA (632 nucleotides) under uncultured bacterium. RNAcentral describes it as "bacterial SSU rRNA". It matches the Rfam family "Bacterial small subunit ribosomal RNA", at positions 159 to 809 of the family's 1533-position model. The record is from RNAcentral.
ACCGCUAAUACCGCAUAACCCGCUAGUAUCGCAUGAUACAGACGGAAAAGAUUUAUCGGUGUGAGAUGGACCCGCGUCUGAUUAGCCAGUUGGCAGGGUAACGGCCUACCAAAGCAACGAUCAGUAGCCGGCCUGAGAGGGUGAACGGCCACAUUGGGACUGAGACACGGCCCAAACUCCUACGGGAGGCAGCAGUGGGGAAUAUUGCACAAUGGGGGAAACCCUGAUGCAGCGACGCCGCGUGAGUGAGGAAGUAUUUCGGUAUGUAAAGCUCUAUCAGCAGGGAAGAAAAUGACGGUACCUGACUAAGAAGCCCCGGCUAACUACGUGCCAGCAGCCGCGGUAAUACGUAGGGGGCAAGCGUUAUCCGGAUUUACUGGGUGUAAAGGGAGCGUAGACGGUUAAUCAAGUCAGAAGUGAAAACCCAGGGCUCAACCUUGGGACUGCUUUUGAAACUGAGUAGCUAGAGUGCAGGAGAGGUAAGCGGAAUUCCUAGUGUAGCGGUGAAAUGCGUAGAUAUUAGGAGGAACACCAGUGGCGAAGGCGGCUUACUGGACUGUAACUGACGUUGAGGCUCGAAAGCGUGGGGAGCAAACAGGAUUAGAUACCCUGGUAGUCCACGCCGUAAACGA